Molecule: ribosomal RNA, 460 nt
Filed under: uncultured bacterium
Lineage: Bacteria
Description: partial 16S ribosomal RNA
Rfam family: Bacterial small subunit ribosomal RNA
Source: RNAcentral
CCUACGGGUGGCAGUAGUGAGGAAUAUUGGUCAAUGGCCGGAAGGCUGAACCAGCCAUGCCGCGUGAAGGUCAGUGCCCUAUGGGCGUUAAACUUCUUUUGUGCGGGAGCAAUAAUGGUCACGUGUGGCCAGACGAGAGUACCGUACGAAUAAGCAUCGGCUAACUCCGUGCCAGCAGCCGCGGUAAUACGGGGGAUGCAAGCGUUAUCCGGAUUUAUUGGGUUUAAAGGGUGCGUAGGCUGUGAGGUAAGUCAGCGGUGAAAUGCCCCCGCUCAACGGGGUGAAGUGCCAUUGAUACUGCCUGGCUGGAAUGAGGAUGCCGUGGGAGGAAUGUGUGGUGUAGCGGUGAAAUGCAUAGAUAUCACACAGAACACCGAUUGCGAAGGCAUCUCACGAAUCCGCGAUUGACGCUGAUGCACGAAAGCGUGGGUAUCAAACAGGAUUAGAUACCCCAGUAGUC